CCUACGGGGAGCAGCAGUGGGGAAUAUUGGACAAUGGGCGAAAGCCUGAUCCAGCCAUGCCGCGUGUGUGAAGAAGGCCUUCGGGUUGUAAAGCACUUUCAGUGGGGAAGAAAGCCUUGGGGCUAAUACCCUCGAGGAAGGACAUCACCCACAGAAGAAGCACCGGCUAACUCCGUGCCAGCAGCCGCGGUAAUACGGAGGGUGCGAGCGUUAAUCGGAAUUACUGGGCGUAAAGCGCGCGUAGGCGGUCUGAUAAGCCGGUUGUGAAAGCCCCGGGCUCAACCUGGGAACGGCAUCCGGAACUGUCAGGCUAGAGUGCAGGGGAGGAAGGUAGAAUUCCCGGUGUAGCGGUGAAAUGCGUAGAGAUCGGGAGGAAUACCAGUGGCGAAGGCGGCCUUCUGGACUGACACUGACGCUGAGGUGCGAAAGCGUGGGUAGCAAACAGGAUUAGAUACCCCAGUAGUC
This 465-nucleotide ribosomal RNA is filed under the name Vreelandella stevensii. RNAcentral describes it as "partial 16S ribosomal RNA". It matches the Rfam family "Bacterial small subunit ribosomal RNA", at positions 338 to 795 of the family's 1533-position model. The record is from RNAcentral. Lineage: Bacteria; Pseudomonadati; Pseudomonadota; Gammaproteobacteria; Oceanospirillales; Halomonadaceae.